Phthorimaea operculella (potato tuberworm) is the source of this 73-nucleotide non-coding RNA. Lineage: Eukaryota; Metazoa; Arthropoda; Insecta; Lepidoptera; Gelechiidae. The record is from the annotation of a GenBank genome assembly.
GACGCCGUAAGUUCAGUUGGCAGAGCAGUGGGACGGUACCCCACCGUCCCGGGUUCAAGUCCCGGCGACGACG